AUGAUUCAGGCUGUUUACAGUCUGUGGCUAGCGAGAAAUGAAGCGAGAGAGGAGAAGAGAAUGGCGCCACCACAUGAAAUAGCGAAGGAGGUGAAGAGGCACACAGAGGAGUGGAGAAUGGCGCAUGAGAAGAGCAGAUCGGCCCCCGAGCAGGUGGUAACACAGAAAUGGGAGCCACCAGAGGAUGGGUGGAUUAAGCUCAAUGCCGACGGUGCGGUAUCCAGGCAUAACGACAAGGGGGGUGGCGGCGUGGUCCUGAGAGAUCACCAAGGGGCUUACAUAGUGGGGGCGUGCCAGCUCUACCCCCAUAUCAGUGAUCCAGAGGCGGUGGAAGUCUUGGCGUGCAGGAAGGCGAUUCAGAUGGCGUUGGAGAGACAGAUACCGAGAGUGCAUGUGGAGCUUGACAGCAAGUCGGUGGUGCAGAUGAUAAAUCAAACUACUCGGAACCUGUCUGCCGUUGGACCGUGGAUUCAGGAGAUCAAGGAGAUGCUUAACUCGUUUGCGGAAUACAAAGUGUCGUGGGUUUGUCGUACCGGGAAUAAGGCCGCGCAUAAGCUUGCUAGGGUAGGUGUAGGAGAUGAAAUAAGUAGAGUGUGA
Molecule: ribosomal RNA, 597 nt
Filed under: Triticum aestivum (bread wheat)
Lineage: Eukaryota; Viridiplantae; Streptophyta; Magnoliopsida; Poales; Poaceae
Description: partial small subunit ribosomal RNA
Source: RNAcentral